Dendronephthya gigantea is the source of this 341-nucleotide long non-coding RNA. RefSeq lists it as uncharacterized. NCBI's taxonomy places the organism in Eukaryota, Metazoa, Cnidaria, Anthozoa, Malacalcyonacea, Nephtheidae. The record is from RefSeq and is a predicted model, not a curated record. The transcript is spliced from 4 exons.
GCAACAGGAAUUCAUGUGAAAGAAGCCAGCAUUACAGUUCUGGUGCAACUACAGACUCUUUUGAAACACCAAAAUCAGGCAAUCGCAACUCUCUACAUCAGGAUCACGACAGCUUUCAAAGAUCUGUUCUGACGAAGCUUGAUAUAAUGCUUGAAAAACAAGAAGAAGCAUUAUCAAUUUUGCGGGUAGUACUUGGUGCCACAAGAGGUGUUAGUGGAAAUGACAUGCUUGAGGAUAUUAUUCCCAAUCCUCUGGACUCAGUUGAGGAAUUGGAAAACCUUAAUGAUCGACUUGCAGAUGAAGAUGCUAGGAAAAAAAUGUUACAAUUCUUCCUUGCUCUG